CCGGCGACCGGCGGACGGGUGCGUAACGCGUACGUAACCUACCUUUGACAGGGGGAUAACAUCGAGAAAUUGGUACUAAUACCCCAUAACAUCACCGGAGGCAUCUUCGGUGGUUGAAAACUCAGGUGGUCAGAGAUGGACAUGCGUUGUAUUAGCUAGUUGGUGAGGUAACGGCUCACCAAGGCGACGAUACAUAGGGGGACUGAGAGGUCAACCCCCCACAUUGGUACUGAGACACGGACCAAACUCCUACGGGAGGCAGCAG
This 265-nucleotide ribosomal RNA is filed under the name uncultured bacterium. RNAcentral describes it as "partial 16S ribosomal RNA". It matches the Rfam family "Bacterial small subunit ribosomal RNA", at positions 88 to 354 of the family's 1533-position model. The record is from RNAcentral.